This 29-nucleotide non-coding RNA is filed under the name Mus musculus (house mouse). The record is from RNAcentral. Lineage: Eukaryota; Metazoa; Chordata; Mammalia; Rodentia; Muridae.
UCCAACCUCAUCAGUUCAGGCAUCCGGAU